Molecule: unclassified non-coding RNA, 277 nt
Filed under: Oidiodendron sp.
Lineage: Eukaryota; Fungi; Ascomycota; Leotiomycetes; Myxotrichaceae
Description: partial contains 5.8S ribosomal RNA, internal transcribed spacer 2, and large subunit ribosomal RNA
Rfam family: 5.8S ribosomal RNA (bases 1-71)
Source: RNAcentral
GUGAGUCAUCGAAUCUUUGAACGCACAUUGCGCCCCGUGGCAUUCCGCGGGGCAUGCCUGUUCGAGCGUCAUUUCAACCCUCAAGCGCGGCUUGGUGUUGGGCGCAGCCCUAGUGGCCGGCCCUAAAGAUAGUGGCGGUACGGCCCGGCCCCCGAGCGUAGUACGUUUUCCUCGCUAUGGUGCCCGGCGGUAGCUUGCCAGAACCCCCACGAUCGCUAGUUGACCUCGGAUCAGGUAGGGAUACCCGCUGAACUUAAGCAUAUCAAUAAGCGGAGGA